GCUGGGCAUGGUGGCGCGUGCCUGUAAUCCGAGCUACUCGGGAGGCCGAGGCACAAGAAUUGCUUGAACCCAGGAGGGGGAGGUUGUAGUGCAGUGAUCAUGCCACUGCACUUCAGCCUGGGUAACAGAGUGAGACUGUGUCUCAA
Molecule: non-coding RNA, 146 nt
Organism: Gorilla gorilla gorilla (western lowland gorilla)
Lineage: Eukaryota; Metazoa; Chordata; Mammalia; Primates; Hominidae
Rfam family: Metazoan signal recognition particle RNA
About the family: The signal recognition particle (SRP) is a universally conserved ribonucleoprotein. It is involved in the co-translational targeting of proteins to membranes.
Source: Rfam